Molecule: non-coding RNA, 181 nt
Organism: Danio rerio (zebrafish)
Lineage: Eukaryota; Metazoa; Chordata; Actinopteri; Cypriniformes; Danionidae
Source: Ensembl
CGCCCUGCCUUCAUCUUCAGGCAGUAUUUGCCAGCUCUUCACGAGACCUGCAUCAUCAACAGUAUUUAGGCCAAAGGACUAAACACAAAGGGCUGAGCAAUCUGUCUGAAACGUGUCAUUAAAUAAUGACAUAUCUGCAGGGACAGAGUUACAAGAAAGCUGACCAAAAAUCUUCAGUACG